GCAUGGAUGGUCUAGUUGGUUAUGACGAUCGCUUCACACGCGAUAGGUCUCGGGUUCGAUUCCCGAUCCGUGUA
This 74-nucleotide transfer RNA is filed under the name Phaeodactylum tricornutum CCAP 1055/1. RNAcentral's name for it is "tRNA-Val for anticodon AAC". It matches the Rfam family "tRNA". Rfam says of the family: Transfer RNA (tRNA) molecules are approximately 80 nucleotides in length. Lineage: Eukaryota; Bacillariophyta; Bacillariophyceae; Surirellales; Neidiaceae. The record is from Rfam by way of RNAcentral.